CUACGGGUUGCUCCAGUGGGGGAUAUUGCACAAUGGGGGGAACCCUGAUGCAGCGACGCCGCGUGAGCGAAGAAGUGCUUCGGCAUGUAAAGCUCUAUCAGUAGGGAAGAAAAUGACGGUACCUGACUAAGAAGCCCCGGCUAACUACGUGCCAGCAGCCGCGGUAAUACGUAGGGGGCAAGCGUUAUCCGGAUUUACUGGGUGUAAAGGGAGCGUAGACGGCAUCGCAAGUCUGAUGUGAAAACCCGCGGCUCAACCACGGGAUUGCAUUGGAAACUGCGGAGCUUGAGUACUGGAGGGGCAGGCGGAAUUCCUGGUGUAGCGGUGGAAUGCGUAGAUAUCAGGAGGAACACCGGUGGCGAAGGCGGCCUGCUGGACAGUGACUGACGUUGAGGCUCGAAAGCGUGGGGAGCAAACAGGAUUAGAUACCCGUGUAGUC
Molecule: ribosomal RNA, 439 nt
Filed under: uncultured bacterium
Lineage: Bacteria
Description: partial 16S ribosomal RNA
Rfam family: Bacterial small subunit ribosomal RNA
Source: RNAcentral